AGAGUUUGAUCCUGGCUCAGAACGAACGCUGGCGGCGUGCCUAACACAUGCAAGUCGAACGUGAUUAAAGAGCUUGCUCUUUAUGAAAGUGGCGCACGGGUGAGUAACGCGUAGAUAAUCUACCUGAUGGAUCGGGAUAACACUUCGAAAGGGGUGCUAAUACCGGAUAAGCCCACGGAGUCCUUGGACACUGCGGGAAAAGGGGGGGACCUUCGGGCCUUCCGUCAUCAGAUGAGUCUGCGUACCAUUAGCUAGUUGGUAGGGUAAAGGCCUACCAAGGCGACGAUGGUUAGCUGGUCUGAGAGGAUGAUCAGCCACACUGGAACUGAGACACGGUCCAGACUCCUACGGGAGGCAGCAGUGGGGAAUUUUGCGCAAUGGGGGAAACCCUGACGCAGCAACGCCGCGUGAGUGAUGAAGGCCCUUGGGUCGUAAAGCUCUGACAGAGGGAAAGAAAUGUGUGGGGGCUAAUAUCCCUUGUACUUGACGGUACCCUCAAAGGAAGCACCGGCUAACUCCGUGCCAGCAGCCGCGGUAAUACGGGGGGUGCAAGCGUUGUUCGGAUUUAUUGGGCGUAAAGCGCGUGUAGGCGGUUUUAUAAGUCUGAUGUGAAAGCCCUGGGCUCAACCUGGGAAGUGCAUUGGAUACUGUAAGACUUGAAUACGGGAGAGGGCAGUGGAAUUCCUGGUGUAGGAGUGAAAUCCGUAGAUAUCAGAGGAACACCGGUGGCGAAAGCGGCUGCCUGGACCGAUAUUGACGCUGAGACGCGAAAGCGUGGGUAGCAACAGGAUUAGAUACCCUGGUAG
This 806-nucleotide ribosomal RNA is filed under the name uncultured bacterium. RNAcentral's name for it is "bacterial SSU rRNA". It matches the Rfam family "Bacterial small subunit ribosomal RNA", at positions 8 to 793 of the family's 1533-position model. The record is from RNAcentral.